RNAcentral lists this unclassified non-coding RNA (175 nucleotides) under plant metagenome. RNAcentral describes it as "partial contains small subunit ribosomal RNA, internal transcribed spacer 1, and 5.8S ribosomal RNA". The record is from RNAcentral.
UUUCCGUAGGUGAACCUGCGGAAGGAUCAUUAACAAAUCGGUGGUAUUGUUGCUUUUCCAGACGUAACACCCUUGGCUCCGUGUGCAUCUUUGUGCACAAUGUGAUAUUUCUGCGAAUAAUCUGAUAUACCGAAUAAAACUUGAACAACUUUUAACAAUGGAUCUCUAGGCUCUU